This 462-nucleotide ribosomal RNA is filed under the name Calamyzas crambon. RNAcentral describes it as "partial large subunit ribosomal RNA". It matches the Rfam family "Bacterial large subunit ribosomal RNA", at positions 1825 to 2608 of the family's 2925-position model. Lineage: Eukaryota; Metazoa; Annelida; Polychaeta; Phyllodocida; Syllidae. The record is from RNAcentral.
AACAUUUCCUAUGCAUUUAUAUCUUAGGUAAACCCUGCCCAGUGUAUAUAAACGGCCGCGGUACCCUUGACCGUGCAAAGGUAGCAUAAUCAAUUGCCUCCUAAUUAGUGGCUAGUAUGAAUGGGUAAACACAGUUAAUACUGUUUAAAUUUGAUAUUAAAAUUAGAUGCUUAGUGAAAAUACUAAGAAACUCAGAAAGACAAAAAGACCCUAUCGAGCUAUAUUUAAUAUAUAAUAUAAUUUGUUGGGGCAACAAAGGAUAAUACUAUACAUCCUUAAAUUUUACCAAAAUGACGCAAAAUUUACAAAAAGAAAAGCUACCGUAGGGAUAACAGACUUAUUUUUUCUGAGAGCUCAAAUUGACGAAAAAGAUUAGCACCUCGAUGUUGGCUCAGGAUUACUAGUGCACGCAGCAUUGUACCAAGUGGGUUUGUUCACCCUUUAAACUCCUACGUGAUCUGA